This 609-nucleotide ribosomal RNA is filed under the name Loma morhua. Its description in RNAcentral is "SSU rRNA". It matches the Rfam family "Microsporidia small subunit ribosomal RNA", at positions 702 to 1305 of the family's 1311-position model. The record is from RNAcentral. Lineage: Eukaryota; Fungi; Microsporidia; Glugeidae.
CGUGGUGCCGAAWAAUGGCGACGCGAAAGAGAAAUCGAGUAGGGCCCUGGGGAGAGUACACGCGCAAGCGAGAAAUUUAAAGGAAAUUGACGGAAGAACACCACAAGGAGUGGAGUGUGCGGCUUAAUUUGACUCAACGCGGGACAACUUACCGGGCCCGACGACCGUAAGAGUGUGACACACGAUAGGUCGAAGAGUGGUGCAUGGCCGUUAACGACGAGUGGAGUGAUCUUUGGGUUAAGUCCGUAAAUUAGUGAGACCUCAGCCGUAAGGGACAGGUGCGCAAAGCACAGGAAGGAUGGGUCAAGGACAGGUCAGUGAUGCCCUUAGAUGGUCCGGGCUGCACGCGCACUACAGUGGUCGCCGAAAUUAGCUGAUAAUUUUAAAGGCGAUCGAGAGGGAAUGAGCUUUGUAAGAGGCUCAGGAACGAGGAAUUGCUAGUAAUCGCGGACUCAUUAAGACGCGAUGAAUACGUCCCUGUUCUUUGUACACACCGCCCGUCGUUAUCGAAGAUGAAGACAGGCGCGAACGAUCUACCAGAAAGUGAGCGCAGGUCUUUAGAUCUGAUACAAGUCGUAACAAGGUAGCUGUAGGUGAACCUGUAGCUGG